RNAcentral lists this signal recognition particle RNA (98 nucleotides) under Bacteroidota bacterium. RNAcentral describes it as "Bacteroidetes bacterium (activated sludge metagenome) signal recognition particle sRNA small type". It matches the Rfam family "Bacterial small signal recognition particle RNA". Rfam says of the family: The signal recognition particle (SRP) is a universally conserved ribonucleoprotein involved in the co-translational targeting of proteins to membranes. Archaeal SRP consists of a 7S RNA and homologues of the eukaryotic SRP19 and SRP54 proteins. In most bacteria, the SRP consists of a 4.5S RNA and the Ffh protein (a homologue of the eukaryotic SRP54 protein). The record is from RNAcentral. Lineage: Bacteria; Pseudomonadati; Bacteroidota.
AGUAAGUCCUGUACGACGAGGACACACCGAACUCCGCCAGGUCCGGAAGGAAGCAACGGCAGGUAGAAGAAUCGGGUGAUACGGGGUCGCUUACUUCA